AUUCUACUUGGAGAGCUUCACCGUGACACACGAGUGUUCCUUCCCACCCCAGACCUUUCUCGCUUCCCCUGGCGCAAACACCGGCAACUCUCCGGCGCGCUGGAUUAACAGACGCUCGCCCCUCUCAACUCCCCUAAGCGAGGUCGAAGCUCCUCCGCGCGUGCCGCGGCACCACUCCCGCCUAACCCACCCUCCGGCAACACUCGCCCACCAGCUCCCCAGUCCACCGGUCUAAGGAAGACGUGCGCGCGCCCCGCACCCGAGCCCCGGAGCUGGGGUUCUGCAGGGAGGGAAAGGCUGCUCCAGGGCUCCCUCCUCCAUCUCACUCCAGGCCGGCUCGCCGCCCACCCUGCCUGCGGAUCCCAGUACUCGCUGGGAGCCGGCCCUGCGCCUUCCUAUCAUGAAGACACCAUCCUCGCAUACCCAGCCCAGAACCCCAGCUACCCUCCACCCUGUAGACACCUCGCGGUUCCGCAGGAGGCGCCACGCCGCCCCUCCCCCACACCGCUCCCCCAGUUCUCGGGCCCCCACCAGAAAGUGUGCGCUACACGCCGCCUCGGCCAUCCUCCGGGACGUCCCCACUUGUCCGCGGGAGGUCAGGUCCAACAUGAAGGGGAAGGGGCGGCAAGGGGUACAGUGCGCGCCGGGAACGCCGUCCCGCGGAGUCCCCCAGUCAGAAGGAAGACGGAGCGCGGGGACCCGUGGGGGUGGGGGCCAAAGGCAAUACUCACCGGUUCGACAGUCGCCAUCUUAGAUCGAUCUGAUCGCACAACCGCUCCAGAAGGGGGGGUAAGAGGAAAAAAAUGAGAUUCAAACCGGAUUGGCCAGCUUCUGGCCACGUGACGGAUAUGUCCGUUUGGCCCUGGCGGCACCUGCGCAAGACUGCGGCUGCGUGAGUAACGAGAGGCUUCUGGGAAGUGGAGUCUCUCCCCCACCUUUUUUUUUUUUUUUUUUUUAAGGUAAAGAAAUUUUUUUUAAAAAGGACUGGUCACGUGGCCGAUGGGUAGGGUGCGCGGUUCUCAACGCGGCGGACACUCGCUUGCUGGAGGGUGGUUUCAGUCCUCUGCUCUUCCGCCUGGAUAGCUGCGGUCACACUUACUGCCAGGCAAGCCUACUGUGCCCUUUGUCGCCCUGUCCUCCCAUCUUCCCCGGAAGGUUGGGAACUGCAGGCUCAGCACACACAAUAAGGCUUCAUUUGCUUAGUUGAGGUCCCAGGACAAGUUGCCUGUGUGUUUAUUUAGUUUUCUUUUGAUCUCCCACCAUUUUCUCUUAGUUUCAAAAAGAGGCGGCGAUGCAGAGUCGUUUAGGCAAUCAACCCUCCCACGUCCCCUGGCUCAGCUAAUGCUGGUGGUCAUUCGUUGCCAUUUCUGCGAAAGGGGACGGACGGAACCGCCCGCAGUACCCGCUUGCCACCGGCUGGACGAGGGGGAGGGACGACAGCUUUUACUGUCCCAAAUCCUGAGAUUAAGACCUCAGGGCUAAAUCUUGCGUGGCGGUAAAAAUUAUUUGGAAGUUCUGUGCAACCGUUCCAAUAUUCCGCUUUUACGUGCACGGAAAUAGCCUAAGUCCAGAUGCCAGCCAGGGAAGCCACUCCGGGCCCCGCUGACUAAGCCCUGGACUGAUGGUCUGGAGUCUUUAGGCCGGGUCAACUAUGACUCUUGACGUUGACUCAUUCUCCUUAGGCGAGUGACUUAAUCGCUCGGCGUCUCAGCUUUUUUAUUUAUGAACCAAAGGUGAUGAUACACUUACCUCACAAGGGUGUGCUUCGUAAUGACUGUAACCGGCUUUGAAAAUGCAUCGGACUCUAGAAAUGAUUCAUAAUAAGCAACUGCGUGCCUUCCUAAAGAUCAAGUGCUUCUGCUUUUUUUUUUUAGCAAAGUUUAAAUUUUUUUCUGUUUACUUUGUUUGAUUAUGAUGUACACCAGUGUAGUUUUAAAUGUUCAGGACCAUUUUUUUUCCUUUACAACUGCAGCUGCCCUCAAUAGAGGCUUUAAUGUUCAUGAAAUUAUUGUUAUGCUCACAACAAUCACUGGCAAUCAGAAAUUUGUCCCCACACUGGCAUCCUACAUUUCCUUUCCCUCUAAGAUACUGUGCUGUCAUUUCUCAAGACCGUGUUUUUUGCACAGUUUGGCUACUAAUAACAACAAAUAGAGAUGAAGAAAUCUAGUAGACUCCUAAGGUUCUAAUGAAGAAGACACUGUCUCAUUACUAUUUCCCAUGCUUUUAAAUAAUGUUGACACCAGGAAAAGGAGUGUAUGCAGGCUGCCUGUGCCUGUCUGCUUAUAGUGUUAAUGAGGUCCAGAGCUGUGUCAUACCUAUUAUUGAGUACAUAAUGGAUGCUUGAGUUGACUAACACAUAAUUGAGGCUGUAUGAGAACUCAAAGCCAUUGCCUGUUCAUAUGUUUUGGUUUACCUGAAUAUCAGAAGUGAUUAAUGAAAGCUUUUGUCUAGUGGGCUUAGCUCUACUAGGUUUUAAAGUAGAUAGAAUUAACAGGCCAGGCGCAGUGGCCCACGCCUGUAAUCACAGCCCUUUGGGAGGCCAAGGCGGGCGGAUCACCUGAGGUCAGGAGUUCGAGACCAGCCUGACCAACAUGGUGAAACCCUGUCUCUACUAAAAAUACAAAAAUUAGCCAGGCAUAGUGGCACCUGCCUGUAGUCUCAGCUACUCAGGAGGCUGAGGCAGGAGAAUCACUUGAACCUGGGAGGUGGAGGUUGCAGUGAGCCAAGAUCCCGCCACUGCACUCCAGUCUGGGCGACACAGUGAGACUCCAUUUCCAAAAAAAAAAAAAAAAUGAUAAUAAACGGAUAAGUGGAUUUCUACUUACAGAGACUAUCUACUGUUACUUAGACUAUCCAAAAUAAUUCUGUUGACCGCGUUGUUAUUUUCUGCUGGUUAGAAGUGGUGUCAGGUUACCUUCUUUGAAGAGAAAAAGACAGCAUAGAUGUCCUAUUUUCCCCUUCCCCACCCUUCCCCACCCUUCCUCUCCCUUCCCUACCCUUCCCCUCCCUUCCCUUCCCUUCUCUUCCCCUCCCCUCCCCUGUCCUCCCCUCCCCUCCCUCCCCUCCCCUCCCAUUCUCUCUCUCUCUCUCUCUUCCUUCCUUCCUUCCUUCCUUCCUUCCUUCCUUCCUUUCUUUUUGUCUUUUCAGGGUGUUGCUCUGUUACCCAGGCUGGAGUGCAGUGGCAUGAUUAUGGCUCACUGCAGCCUUGACCUUCUGGGUUCAAGGGGUCCUCCCACCUUAGCUUCCCAAGUAGCUAGGACUACAGGCAUGGGCCACCAUGCCUAGCUAAUUUUUUUAUAUUUUGCAGAGACAGGAGCGUCUAGCUAUGUUCCCCAGGCUGGUCUCAAACUCCUGGGCUCAAGCGGUCCCCCUACCUGGGCCUCCCAAAGUGCUGAGAUUGCAGGCAUGAGCCACCAUUCCUGGCCAGAUGUCCUAUUUUCAUGAAGCUGUUAUAUAACAGCAAAAAAUCAAUGAGAUUGGCAAGAAAAUACCUAUAGGACUGAAAGCCAGUGAUGUUCUUAAAACUUUUUUUAAACAACAGUUUCCAUUUUUAUUAAAUUUUCUGUUAAUCAAAAAACUCGGGCCGGGCACGGUGGCUCAUGCCUGUAAUCCCAGCACUUUGGGAGGCCAAGACGGGCGGAUCACGAGGUCAGGAGAUCGAGACCAUCCUGGCUAACACGGUGAAACCCCGUCUCUACUAAAAAUACAAAAAUUAGCUGGGCAUGGUGGCAGGCGCCUGUAGUCCCAGCUACGCGGCAGGCUGAGGCAGGAGAAAGGAGUGAACCCAGGAGGUGGAGCUUGCAGUGAGCGGACAUCGCGCCACUGCACUCCCUCAGUCUCAAAAAAAAAAAAAAAAAAAAAACUCCCUCUUGUCAACCAAGACUCAUACUUUUACAAUACUUAUGGAUGCUCUAUUCUUUAUGGUUUAGUUUCUUUCCAUUUUUUACAUAGUUUUCAACAAUUUUUCUUUAUAAUUUUCAAGCACAGAGUUUCAGGAAAAUCUCCAUUUUUGUAUAUACUUUGUUGUGUGUGUUUUAUGACCAUUAAUGUGUCUUUGCCUAUUUGAGAUUCUACCAUUUCAAAGAUUUAACGAUUAGGUUUUUAUGUAUGUGUGUAUGUGGUUGUUUUGUUUUGUUUUUGCCAAUCCUAAAUAUAUAGAGCUGAAAUUUUAUGUUUUAUUUCUCUAUUUAUUCUCUAUUAUUCUUUAUUGCUCUUCAAAGGACUUGUAAUUCCAAGUUCAUUUACAGAACUGACCAGAAACCAUCCAACAAGUACUAAGUUAGUAAUGGGAACUAUGUAACCAGUGGAGGAUAUUUAAAGGACACAGGAAGUACAGGCACUUCCUUCCCCGACUGUAAAAUCUGGUUGGCGUACUAAGUCAUAGAAAUAUAAAUAGUUCAGUACCCAUAUAAAGAGGUGUGACUAAGAACCAAGAGGAUGCAGUUAACAAGCACCAUAACCAGCACACAUUCACAUAAUGAAUGAGCGAAUCAUAUACUUCCUUCCCUCAUUUCAUCCAGGCCUCUGUUCCAAUGUGAUCUCCUGAAGGAAGGCUUCCUUGACCACCCUAUCUAAAUUACUGUUUCCAUUACUCUUUAUCCCCUCACUCUGCUUUGGUUUUCUUUAGGCCACUUCAUAACCCUAACUCUAAACUUGCUGUUAAACAUUAUUUAAUUAGUUGUUGAUUGACCCUACUACUAAAAUAUUAGCUCAUUGAUGAUUUGUAGAUAGAUUGCUAUCAAAUAUUUGGGGAAAACUCAAAUGUAAUUUUUUUUUCCCGAGAUGCAGUCUCACUCUGUUGCCCAGAUCUUGGCUCACUGCAACCUCUGCUUCCUGGGUUCAAGCGAUCCUCCUGCCUCAGCCUCCCAAAUAGCUGGGACUACAGGUGCGUGCCACCACACCUGGCUAACUUUUGUAUUUUUAGUAGAGAUGGCCAGCCUGGUCUCGAACUCCUGACUUCGUGAUCUGCCCGCCUCGGCCUGCCAAAGUGCUGGGAUUACAGGCCUGAGCCACUGUGAACCCUUAUUUUAAUUUUACAGUUUGAGAGACACCAAUUCCCAUUACCUACUCAGGACAUUGCUUAAAAACAUGGGAUGUACGCAAACAUGACCAAGGAAUUUUGAAUAUUAAAAGAUUGGAGCAGAAUUGGAAUUUAAAAAAUUAUUUUAUUAUUCUAGUUAGUUUUUUGUUUACUCUCUCCUUGGUGAUUUUUAUGAGACUGAGGCACUACCUACUGGCUAAAAAGGCACCUUGAUUUUUAAAAGAAAAUCAAGAAAAAGAAAAAGAAAAAAAUUUUUUAAGGGAAACCUCUUCUGCUAUUCUAAUAUAUCCGUGUGCCAACAUUUUAUGCUUUUACAAUUAUAGGGUGCAAAGAGUUUUUGUUUGUUUGUUUAGAGACAGGGUAUUCCUAUACUACUAGGCUGGAGUGCAGUGGCACAAUCCUGGCUUACUGCAGCCUCUAACUCUGGGGCUCAAGCGAUCCUCCCACCUCAGCCUCCUGAACGAUGGCUAAGACUACAAACAUGUGCCACCAUGCCCAGCUCAUUUUUUUAUUUUUUGUAGAGAAAAGAUCUUGUUAUGUUGCCCAGGCUAGUCUCGAACUCCUGGGCUCAAGUGAUCCUCUGGCUUUGGCCUCCUAAAACUCUGAGAUUAUAUGUAUGAGUCACCCCCAGCCUGCACAAACAAUUUUGAAUUCUACAUUUUUUUCCACAUGACAUCUUAUUGCAAACAUUUUGGACAUUGCCUAUAGAUGGGAUAACAGUUUUUAAACUUUUUUUUUUUGGAAAAAUUUUAAACUUACAGAAUACUUGUAAUAGUAACUCUUCUUCUAAGCCCUUCUAAAUUCACCAAUUAUUAAUUUGUUGCAUUGCCUCUCUUAAUCUCAUUACUUCUGAACCAUUUGAGAGGAAGUUGCAGGCAUGAUGAUCCUUUACCUCUAAAUACUUCAGCAUGUUCCUCCUAUGAAUAAAGACGUUUUCUUACAGCACCGUAAUACAAAUAAUGAAAUCAUGAAAUAUAAUAGUAGUUUUAUCUAAAAUAAAAACCAUAAAAUCAAUAUUCGUAUUUUGCCAGUUUCUUCACUCAUUUUGACAGAAAUACUACAAAAAUAAUAUUGUAUUCUUCCUGGUGCAUCACAUCAUCGGUAACAUUAGUGGCUUCAGAAUAUUCUGCUGAGUGGAUAUAUCACAGUUCCCUUAAUCAGUUCCAAAUGGUUACAUAUUCAGGUAAUUUCCAGUCUUAUAUUAUUAUAAUGUUCUAAUGCAUACAUUUAUGAGAAAUGUGUUUUCCUAUUUAGAUGAUUUCCUCAGGACAAUUUUUCAUCAAUAGAAUUAGUUUAUAGGAUACAUAGUUUUGACUGUUUAUACAUAAUGGAAUUCAUGUUGCUCUCCAAAAGUGUGGUAUCGGCAUGAGAUGUCACAGCCAACUUAUCAGUGUUGGGUGUUAAAGGAAUUAAAAGAAUGUAUCGUUAAUGAUUCUUGUUGCUAGUUUCAAUAUUUACUUAUUCACAGCCUUUACCUUUGUUCCAUUACCUGUUAUUUUGGAAAUGUUGAAAUCUACAAAAAAUUUGAAACAAUACAACAAACACUUAUAAACCCUUCACCUAGAUUCUCUAGUUGUUAAUCUUUGAAUCAAUAAGGAUUGAUAAGGGCUGGGCGUGGUGGCUCACACCUGUAAUCCCAACACUUUGCGAGGCCGAGGAGGGUGUAUCACUUGAGCUCAGGAGUUUUGAGACUAGCCGGCCAACAUGGAGAAACCUCAUCUCUACUAAAAAUGCAAAAAUUAGCCAAGCAUGGUGGCGUGCACCUGUAGUCCCAGCUAUUCAGGAGACUGAGGCAGGAGAAUCACUUAAACCCAGGAGGCGGAGCUUGCAGUGAGCUGAGAUCGUGCCACUGCACUCCAGCCUGGGCGACAGAGUGAGUCUGUCUCAAAACAAACAAACAAAUAAGGACUGAUAAGAAUACUGAUGUAAUUUUGAAAAGUAUGUAGUAGCCAAGGGGCCUGUCACAUAUGGAAGAGUUAUGGAAAUGGUUAAUGGAACAUGGAGUCUCUAGGUGCAAUAUAGAUGGGCAGCCAAGAAGGGUAUUAUUCAAUUUACACUACGAAAAAAAAAUAAAUAAGUAAAAAUUAGGGCCAGGUGAAGUGACUCAUGCCUGUAAUCCCAGCACUUGUGGGAGGCCAAGGCAGGAGGAUUGCCUGAGCCCACCAACCUGGGCAACACCGUAAGCCCCAGCCUCUAAAAAAAAAUAAACAUAAAAAUAAAUGAUGGAUGAUAAGGAGGCCAUAGGCAGUUGUACCAAUAAAACAUCAAAAUCUCCUGCCAAGUUCCUGGACCUGAGCCAAUUUUUAGACCCAAAAUCCAUUGACUGAAGAAGUUAGGUGCGAGGGAGAAAGGAACCGUGGCAAGCAAUGGGGUUAAUGAUUCCCCAGUUCUUCCCCCAAAAUGAUCUAUGGCUGUUUACUUGUGCAACUGUAUGCUUUGUAAAGGGGAACACCCAAGCAGUUCUAAUACUGCCGGACUCAGGUUUGACUUGACAUUGAUACCCAGAGCCUGAAGUACUAUCCUAGCCUUCCUGUUUAAGUGAGGAUAUACGGGGUUCAGGUAAUACAUGAAAAGCAAAUAAAAAUGGAAGGUCCAAAAUUCCUUAAAUGUCUUUUAAGCAACAUUAAUAGGAGACUAUUAUAUACAGUUGACCCUUGAACAACACGUGUUUGAACUUUGUGGGUACAUUUACACAUGGACUUUUUAAAUAUAAAUAUACUGCAAAUAUUUUUGGAGAUUUAGGACAAUUUGAAAAAUCUCACAAACUGCAUAGCCUAGAAAUAUUGAAAAAAUUAAGAAAAAGGUAUGUCACGAAUGCAUAAAAUAUAUGUGUUAAUAGAUAGAGUAUGUUAUUGGUAAGGCUUCUGGUCAACAGUAGGUUAUGAAUAGUUAAGUUUUGGGGGAGUCAAAAGUUAUAUGUGAAUUUUCAGCUGGGCAUCUCAUACCUAUAAUCCCAGCACUGUGGGAGACCAAGGCGGGUGGAUCACUUGAGGCCAGGAGUUCAAGACCAGCCUGGCCAGCAUGGCGAAACCCUGUCUUUACUAAAAAUACAUUAGCUGGGCAUGGUGUCGUGGACCCGUAAUCCCGGCUACUUGGGAGCCUGAGGCACGAGAAUCGCUUGAACCCGGGAGGCGGAGGUUGCAGUGAGCUGAGAUCAUGCCAGUGCACUCCAGCCUGAGCAACAGAGCAAGACACUGUCUCAAAAAAAAAGUGUUUUAACAUUUAAAAAAAUUAAAUAAAAAAGUUAUAUGUGAAUUUUCAACUGCGUGGGGGGCUGAACACCCCUAAUUCACACAUUGUUUAAGGGUCAACUACUGGGAAACCAACAGAUGUGUCUUCUGUAAUGAAAACCACACAGAAUCUGUAGAAUGUAGUGGUCAACGAUUUUGUAGAUUUGAAAUGAAGAGGGAAUAGCUGUUUUACUCUCUGGGAGAAGACUAUCUGUAAGAGACUUCCAGGCUAAUGAAAUUGGUAAGGUACUGGCCAGGCAUGGUGGCUCACGCCUGUAAUCCCAACACUUUGGGAGGCCGAGGCGGGCAGAUCACGAGGUCAAGAGAUCGAGACUGUAAGAUACAAUGAAUUUCUUUGAACUUCUCUUCAAAGGUUUAGCCUGCUAACUUCCUUGUCCUUUGUUCUCAAACUCAGUUUUCCUGUUCCUCCUUGCCCCUAGUUACUGUAAAACAGCCUACCCCCUUCCUGUCAGCUCUAAUCAAUAACUCACAUCUUUUCCCUUGGUUACCUGCAGCCAUUGUUCCCCCGAAACUGCACGUCUCAAACAGUCUCACAUGCUUUACCACUGUACCUCACGUCCCCCUGCCCUUCCAUAUUUAGAAAAAUAUUUGCAAGUAGCCAAUCGGGUCAGCUCAGAUUGUGCGGUCCGACCCCAGCCCAUCGGGGAGGGACAAAGAGGUAGGGAUUGCAUUAAGGAUAUAAAAAAACCCUGAUGUCCUUUAUUCUCUGUGCUCUUGCGAUCUCGAUUGACACAAGUGGCACCCUUCUUCCGAAGUAAAUUGCCCUGCUGAGACAACUUUUGCCUGAGUGCUGGUUUCACUUUGUGGCACCGAGCAUUUAUUUCCAGAACAUUUUUUUAUCCAACAAGACCAUUCUGGCCAACAUGGUGAAACCCUGUUUCUACUAAAAAUACAAAAAUUAGCUGGGCUUGGUGGUGUGCACCUAUAGUCCGAGCUACUUGGGAGGCUGAGGCAGGAGAAUCGCUUGAACCCAGGAGGCGGAGGUUGCAGUAGGCUGAGAUAGCGUCACUGCACUCCAGCCUGGCAACAGAGCGAGACUCGCCUCAAAAGAGAAGGAAGGAAGGAAGGAAGGAAGGAAGGAAAAGAAAUUGGUGAAAUUGGUACUGACAUGAAAUUACAAAGUGCAUUUUAGUCUAAAUAAAUAAGAAAGAAAAAUAAGGUAUCAGAGGAAUCUGAGACAAGAGAAAGUUGGCUGGAGAUAGUUAAAAUAUUUCUAAGGCCCAGUCUCUUGAGAUAGACCUGUAGCCAAUAAUUUACAUAAUAAUAACAAAAAUGACAAGGGAGUGAGUAAACAAGUAGUUCACAGAGCUAAAAGCAAGGCAUGAUGCAAGGUGUGAAUGGAAUUAGUAAGUAAAAUGUGUUGCCUGGGUAUGUAGAAUUUGAUAUUUGUUUUAACAAAUUUAAAAACUGUCAGCUGCUACUUUAAGUGGAGACAGAAUUUCCCUUUAGCACAUUUUUAUUCUGAGAAGAAUCACAGUAGUGGCUGCUUUUAGUUAUGUAAAUGUAUGGGCAAAAGCAUAAUUGCAAACUAGGGCUGCUGGUAGACUGCUCCACUUCUCUAAUUCUCUCUUCAGCAGCCAAGUAGCUUGGUAUUAGGAUAGUCCUCUUGGACUAGUAAGUUUCUAGGCUUUUUAAUUAAUUCAGAGGGAAAUGCGACAACAGAAACUACUUCCCCAAUAAUGAGUGGAAAGUACCAAAAUUAAAUAAAUAUAACUGAGGUGUAAUUUUAGGGAAGAACAAUUGGAUUGUGAUUUCAACCAAGGAAUGUAAAACUAUGUGGUUGCAAUAUAUUCUGCCUGAACUAAAAAAGUGCUUUAGCAGAGGAAAGGAAAUUGGUAGUAGUCUCCCUGUCAUGUUGAAAAGGAAAGUCCAGAAAGAUUUGGCUGUGUGUUGCCUGCACUACUCGGGGCCCUAGAAUACAAAUAUGGUAGCUGACUCAUGGGGUAAGUAUCUCCCUAUGUCAGACUAGGAAAGUUAGUGACACUUAUCAUUAUUGAAUAGGUUAUAAAACUCAAGAACAGGACAGGUGUGGUGGUUCAUGCCUGUAAUCUCAGCACUCUGGCAGGCCAAGGGAGGAAGAUGACUUGAGCCCAGGGGUUUGAUACUAGCCUGGGCAACAUAAUUUUAAAAAAUAAAUUAAUUUUUAACAAUAAAAUAAAUAAAAUACAUAACCUCAAGGACAACCUUAUAAAAUUAAUCCUGAUAAUUGCUCCUAGAUGAAUGCUGAUGAAGGUAAGUGAAUUCUAAAAACAGUACUAAUCUCCCUUCUACCUCACCAAAUAUGUUUCUUUUCCUGAAUUCUUUAUCCUGGUUAAUUAUAAAAUCAUCUUCCAGUCACUCCUUUCCUAAAAUCUUGUCAUCAUCUCUCCAAUGAUGGUCACUCUUUCAUCCUCCACAUCCAGUAAAUCAGCAAGGUUUAGCAAUUAUUAUUAUUAUUAUUUUUCAAGACGGAGUCUCCCUCUGUUGCCCAGGCUGGAGUGCAGUGGCUCAAUCUUGGCUCACUGCAACCUCCGCCUCUUGGGUUAAAGUGGUUAUUGUGCCUCAGCCUCCCUAAUAGCUAGGACUACAGGCGCGCCCCACCAUGCCGGCUAAUUUUUGUAUUUUUAUUAGAGACAGGGUUUCACCAUGUUGCCCAGGAUGGUCUUGAACUCCUGACCUCGAAUGAUCCACCUGCUUCAGCCUCCCAAAGUGCUGGGAUUACAGAUGUGAGCCACCAUGCCUGGCCAUAUUUUUAUGUUCUCAAGUAUUCCCUCUCCUCUUCAUUCUCACUGUCUUAGUGUAGUGGACAUCUAUAUAUCUAUAGUUCAGCUUUCUUUUUGUAAUACUUGCAAUUCUGAUCUUUUGGGGACCUAUUCCUUCUCACUCUAACCAUGUGGUUCUACUGGGACUUGCCUCAUGGUUCCCCUUACACCAUUAUUGGAGGCACAUGACCUGGGUGGAAAAUUAGAAGGAGUCAUAACUGAAAGGGUGAAUGCAGACACUUCACUUUAUACAAGUCAAGGUUAUCGUAGUGGUCAUGGUGGAUGACUUCUCAACAAGAGUCUCUCACAAUGAUUAGUCUAAGUCAGAAGUCACCAUACUGUGGACAUUUAGGGUCAGAUAAUUCUUAGUUGUGGAAGUUGUUUUAUGUAUUGUGAGAUGUUUAGCAGUAUCCCUGGCUUCUAUCCUUUAGAUGCCAGUGCACCCUUUCUCUAAGGUGUGACAACUAAAAAUACUCCAGAUAUUGCCAAGUGACUCCUAGACAGUGAAAUCAUCUCAGGUUGAGAACUACUGGCCUAAACUAUUUGUGGCAAUCCUAUUGCUUAUUUCAUUGGUCUCCAAAAACAGGCCAAUGUAAGGUGUAAAAGUUUUGUCCACUAGAGGGCUUCUGGGAAGGUUUCCACAAUCCUGAGAAAGUCGACUGGAAUUAAGAGCAUUUUCUUGAGAGAAGUUGUUUUUAUGUGAAUACUUAAACUGGCUGCAGUCAACAUGGAGGGGGAAAUGGAGAAAUAAGGAAUGUAAAGUAGGAGAUAGAAUAAAUUUUACUCCUUAACUGUUGAGCCGAUGACUUCUCUGCAUGAGCCUAAAACAAUCUUAUCUCUGUACUACCACUUAUUUUUGAGUAUAUAUGUAUGUACUAAAAAAAAAAAAAAAACAGCUCAAAUGGGAGUGUACUGUACAUGCUUUGUGUUACUUCUUUUUACAUAUUUGUAGGUGAUGCUUUCAUAUAAGUAUAUAGAAAGCUGCCUAAUUCUUUUCAUUGACUGCAAAUUAUUUCAUUUCAUAGAUAAGGAAUAAUUCAUCUAACCAGUAUCUUGGAGUCUUUUAUGUGUGUUUUUUUUUAAAAAAAAAACAAAAACAAAAACAUUUUUUCUAAUGCAAAGAAUGGUUCCAUAACUUUCCAUUAUACACAAGUCAUUGGAAUAGACUUGAGAAGAGGAAUUAUUAAGACGGACGCCAUGGCUCAUGCCUGUAAUCCUGACACUUUAGGAGCCCGAGGAAGUGGAUCACUUGAGCUCAGGAGUUUGAGACCAGCCUGGCCUACGUGGUGAAACCCCGUCUCUACUAAAAACACAAGAAAAUUAGCUGGGCGUGAUGGCACACACCUGUAAUCCCAGCUACUCAGGAGGCUGAGGCAGGAGAAUCACUUGAACCCAGGAGGAGGAGAUUGCAGUGAGCCAAGAUCAUGCCACUGCACUCCAGCCUGGGUGACAGAGUGAGACUCUGUCUCAAAAAAAAAAAAAAAGACAAAUUAUUAGGUGUGCAUGUGUGAUUUUCAUAGAUAUUAUAAAAUAUCCUGGGAAGAGAUUGAAUUAACAUUCUCAUUAUCAACAUAUGGUAGCCUCAUACUCUGAUUAAUAAAUUAUCAAACUUUGAGACGUAGUCUCGCUCUGCCACCCAGGCUGCAGUGCAGUGGCGCGAUUUCGGCUCACUGCAACCUUCACCUCCCGGGUUCAAGCGAUUCUCCUGUCUCAGCCUCCCAAGUAGCUGGGAUUAUAGGCAUGGGCCGCCAUGCCCGGCUAAUUUUUGUAUUUUUAGUAGAGAUGGGGUUUCACUAUGUUGGCCAGGCUGGUUUCCAACUGACCUCAGGCGAUCUGCCUGCCUCAGCCUCCCAAAGUGCUGAGAUUACAGGCUUGAGCCGCUGCACCCAGCCAGUUAUCAAACUUUUUGUGCUUUGGUAAUUUCAUGAAAUACUAUAUGCAAUGUAAUUUCAGUUUAUAUAAUAAAACUUGUCAGAAUGAAAAUGGAAUCAUUUGUGUAAAACCCUGGCAAAUGGAAGGCCUUGAAAGGAGGGUUGUCACGCAUGUAUGCCUAAUAACAAGAACUAUCACAAAAGAUAGCAAAAAACAUGACCUUACACAGAGGCUACUUCAACCUCAUACAAAAAAUACUUCUGUGAAAAAUAAAAAUACUUCUGUGAGCACAUGUGCUGAGCAACUGCCUGUCCAACCUUGGACUGACACCAUCCUCGUUAUUGGUCUCUGUAGGCAAAGAUAAUUGUUUCAAAAUAGUUAUGUAAUCCCCCUCAUUUUUCACUGAAAAACCCUUUUACCUCCCAGAACAUGCUCCCUGUAUUCCCAUUGCAAGGCUCAAUCCCCAAAACUAUCAUUUUCUUUUAUAGAGUCUCUCUCUGCCUGUUAUUUAGGUUGACAUAAUCUGGUGUCAAGAAGUGGGACCAAAGUGAGCUCACCUUGAUGGAUCGGUGACUCCUGGAAUCACAUGAAGUUCCCACAUUGAGCCCCUUUGAGCUCUCCAAUCCUACAGCUCACCUUUUCUGUCAUGGUGAAUCUCCUCUCAGGUUCUUGAACUCCCUCAUUUUGGUGAGUUCUUUUGACUUUCUUUGGGAUUUGUUUUGGAUAAUGGCUGCCUUAAUAAAGGACCUUGUAUCUCUCUUGAGACUAGAAAAUACAUUUUUUCUGACAAAUCCUUUCUGGUACAAAGAUAUUUUAUCUUUCUGGAGAGUAUACACUUCUGAUUUCUAUAAAAUUUACCUCAUGUAUUUUCUGGUGAGUUCUUUUUUUUUUCUUUUUGCAUGCCUUCGCAGCCAUUAUACAAUUCAGUGAGUCCUAGCUGAAAUGUAAAAACACCUGAGAAACUAACCACUAAAUUUGAGGCUUUAAAAAAAAAAGGUUCUUCAGUUUUGAGACCUGGACUGGGUUUCCUUGCUCCUCAAGUUUGCAGACAGCCUAUUGUUGGACCUUGUGAUCAUGUUCAAGUGAUUCUCCUGCCUCAGCUUCCUGAGUAACUGGGAUUACAGGCAAGCGCCACCAUGCCUGGCUAAUUUUGUAUUUUUAGUAGAGACAGGGUUUCACCAUGUUGAUCGGACUGGUCUCGAACUCCCAACCUCAGGUAAUCUUCCCACCUCAGCCUCCCAAAGUGCUGGGAUUACAGGCAUGAGCCACCACACCCGGCCUACUUUUUUUUUUUUUUAAGGCAGGAUCUUGCUCUGUUUCCCAGUCUGGAGUGCAGUGACACGAUCAUGACUCACUGCAGCCUCAACCUCUCAGACUCAAGCAAUCCUCUCACCUCAGCCUCCCAAAUAGAUGGGACUUUUUUUUUCUUUUUAAUUUUUUUAUAGAGAUAGGGUUUCACUAUGUUGCCCAGGCUACUCUCAACCUCCUGGGCUCAAGUGAUCCUCCCACCUUAGCCUCCCAAAGUGUCAGGAUUACAGGCAUGAACCAUCCUGCCCAGCCUAUUUUUGUGCAACUUUUUGAUGAAUAAGACUAGUUUAAUAUUGUUACUUUAGUGAAAACAGCUGUAUCUUCUAAGUAAUCAAUAAAAUAUCCAUGUACUUUAAGGUUCUUAAUGUGAACAUCUAACAUUCACAUGCUGUAAAAAUGGCUAACAGAAAGGUAACUUGAAAUAAUGAUUAGCUCUGUGUAAUAUCUGUUUUCAUAAGUAAUCUAGGUAUAAUGGUUAAAAAAUAAAUUAGGUAAAUGAAAAGGGAAUAAGUAUGUAUAAAUGAACUUUUCAUAUGAUUUGAGAUCUUAAAGUUAUGUUAAAUAAGUAAUAGUUAUUCAUUAAAUGUCUGGGUCAUAGCCAAAUAAGAUAAAAUAUGAAAACAUUAAUUACUGAACAUAGAUUCAAAUUAAUUUACUUUUGGCUUUUUUUUUUUCUUUUUUGAGACAAAGUUUCACUCUUGUCCCCCAGGCUGGAGUGCAAUGGCACAAUCUCGGCUCACUGCAACCUCCCCCUUACAGGUUCAAGCAAUUCUGCCUCAGCCUCCCAAGAAGCUGGGAUUACAGGCGCCUGCCACCACACCCAGCUAAUUUUUGUAUUUUUAGUAGACAGGGUUUCACCAUGUUGGCCAGGCUGGUCUCGAACUCCUGACCUCAGGUGAUCUGCCCGCCUUGGCCUCCCAAAGUGCUGAGAUUACAGGCAUGAGCACCAUGCCCGGCCUUCUUUUUUUUUUUUUUAGGCAGGGUCUCACUCUCACCCAGGCUGGAAUGCAUGAUCACAGCUCACUGCAACCUCUACCUCCCAGGCUUGAGCAGAUCCUCCCAGCUUAGCCUCCCCAGUAGCUAGGUCUACAGGUGUGAACCACCAUGCCCAGCUAAUUUUUUGAUUUUUUUUUUUUUUUUUUUUUUUUUUGAGCCAGAGUUGCGCUCUUGUUACCUGGGCUGGAGUGUAAUGGCGCAAUCUCAGCUAACUGCAUUCUUCGCCUCCCAGGUUCAAGCGAUUCUCCUGCCUCAGCCUCCCGAGAUUCUCCUGCCUCAGCCUCCCGAGUAGCUGGAAUUACAGGCAUGCGCCACCAUGCCCAGCCUUUGAUUUUUUUUUUUUAAGAGAUGGGGUCUCUGUAUGUUGCCCAGGCUUGUCUUGAACUCCUGGGCUCAAGCGGUCCUCUCACCUCAGCCUCCCCAAGUGCUAGGAUUACAGGCAGGAGACACCACACCUGGCCUACUUUUGGCUUCUUAAGUUUUAAAGAAAGAGAAAAGCUAUUUGGGCUUAUUAAUAAAUACGUUCUGUUUCACAUUGGAAAAUUGUUCUAUGAGAAAGCACAUGUUUCUAGAGAUUAUGAAAUACAUAUUCAUAGGAGGUUGAUGUAUGUCAGAUAGUUCAGAGUUUGCUUGCUUCCUGGGCUUUCACUAGAAAUUAGGGUUACUGAGAGUUAAAAAUUCUAAUUAAUGUAUGUGAUUCUGCAUGCAAGAUAUAUAAGAAAUUGUGUUUUUGAUGAGAAAAACUUUGAAGAUGAGAAUUUUUUUAAAGAAAAGAAUAGUUUUGUCUAAAUUCAGAGGUUAUUUAAGGUUAUUUUAAAAGUAAAUUUAGAAAGAAGAUAGCAGCAAGACAGAAAGGAACCAGUAGGAAGAAGAGAGGCUUGCAUAGAAAGUUAUAGGUAUGAAGAUGUAUUUUUGGAAAGGGAGGUUAAAAAGAGAAGAGGUUUUUUUUUUUGGUAUGAGAGAGAAUCUCAAGUGGUCAAAAUCAAAAGAAAAAAAGUAAAUUGUGUCCUAAAGUAAAAUGACUGGUUGUUAAAGAAAGAGCAACUAUAAAUAGGACAAAACCAAAAGUCUGGGCAGGUCACAGACAGUCUGAGCUAGUUGUAAAAGGUUUGUGAAAGAUGACUCUUACGAAAGAAAUUUUGUGUGUGAUAAAGUUGGCUAAAAU
This 16374-nucleotide long non-coding RNA is filed under the name Homo sapiens (human). Its description in RNAcentral is "HSALNT0321072". The stretch from base 12357 to 12504 matches the Rfam family "Metazoan signal recognition particle RNA". Lineage: Eukaryota; Metazoa; Chordata; Mammalia; Primates; Hominidae. The record is from RNAcentral.